Molecule: long non-coding RNA, 5618 nt
Organism: Camelus dromedarius (Arabian camel)
Lineage: Eukaryota; Metazoa; Chordata; Mammalia; Artiodactyla; Camelidae
Exons: 4
Source: RefSeq, a predicted model, not a curated record
AGCACCGCUACGUUGUACGUAAAGCGACGUGCCGCGGUUCCUCAGGCCGGGAUGCGCCUCAUCCGUCGGGGACAGCGCCACACAAAGAUCUUUUGGAACAAGCGCUAAUGACAAAGGAGCUGCAUAGGGCAGAGAUACAUUUUAGAGUCAGCUAAUCUGAAUUUGUUUGGAUUUGUAUUGAAUCUAUGGAUCAAUGAGAGAAUUGACAUUUUUAUAAAAUGAAGUUUUUUUCCUAGAGCAAUGCCUGCCAAACAGUAAGAAAAUUUUUAAGUGAAUGGAUGAGAUUGGAGCUUAUCAAGAAUGAACCUCAAGAAAAGUAGCAGGAGUGGCCCAAGCCUUUCUCAGCCUCUGAGAGGCCCUGGCAGAAGACUACUGUUCAUCUUACACAGUCGCUUCGAGUCUCCUGAACUACUCCUGAGCCCUUUUGCUAAUUGUGUCACCUGAAUCUUUAAUUGCUUUGCCAGUUUGAGCUGUAAUUUAAAUAAAAUUUUUGCUACAAAGAGUUAAAAUAUCAGAGCAUUUUAACCAGUCUAAAAUUUAGAAAUAGGAAUUUGAGACAAAUUAGGUUUUUCUAAUAGAAAUGUUCUGAGCCUAAAGCCCUAAAGGAGAGUAAGGAAACCAAUUAACUUUAAUUUAAAUAAUCAUGUCUUAAGUAGCAAAUGAACCAAAUUCUAUUGUUAAAGAACAACUGUAUUAAAUCCCUGAAAGGUUAGCUUCAAAAUGGCAUUAAUGCAGUGGUUUCGUGUCUAACUAAUGAAAUAAGUUUCUGUUGGUCACUGUAACCUCUGUUUGUUGUCUUACUGGACAUUGUAUUGAGUGUAGAGGAGGGGAGAGAUUGAGAGAUCAAGGAAGGAAUAAUUCCCAUUGAUAUUCCUAUUGUUAGUAACCUUUUUUUAAAAGCCACAAACAAAAAGCUAAUCAUUUUAUUCCUGGGAAAAAACAGUAUAAGAAAAUGUGGGAAAAGCUUAUUUUCUUAUUCUAAACCUUGUGUAUAUAUAUAUGACUUUCUGUUUGUAUUUGCUAUUUUAAAAUAAUGUAUUUAUGAUGAUUGAGAUCACUAUGACUACAAAGACUGAACUUCAGCCAAUGUCUGUAAGCAUUAAAGCAGCCAUCAACAAUGUAUUAAGGUAUAUAUUAUGCUAUACUCUGGUACUGGGUCAAUGCCUGGAGAUGUAUUUUGGAUGAGUUUAUAUAAUAGAAGAGAGAGAACAGGAGUUUGGCAGGCAGACAGUUUGAAGUCAGGUCAUGGGAGGGUUUAAAUGUUACUCUCAAAGACUUAAAUGCUAUUUCUCUCACGCAUUCUCUAUUUCUUCAGUCCUCACGUGCUACCUUGAGACCUUAGAAAGGCCAGGUUAACCUCACUGAGACUGUCUUCCUAUGUGUAAGAUGGGGAUAAUAAUCCUAUAUUAUAGGUAUGCCUGGAGAAUUAACAGAUGUAAAGCAUAUGACUGAGGCUGGCACACAGUGGAAGCUUAAUAAAUCUUGGUCUUAGUACUGUUUUCUAGAAAUGAAACACUGCUUCUGCUCUCCUUAUUAACUAAUUUUGCACAUCAGUGUCAUAUCCUAUGCUCUGCUAAUGUUUGUUAUGUUCUUGAGAGAACCUUUUUAUUUCCUGUGGCAUCUUGGGGAAGAAGUCUAAAGAAACUGGUAUAGAAUUUACUAAAAUGGAAAUUAGCCUGGGUUGACAGGCAAGGGCAAAAAGAGUUAAAAGGGUUAGUAUAUCAAAGCCUUGACUUUCUGGAGUUACUUUUUUCUUCAAAACAUAGCCUCUGCCUUUGCUGGCAAUGUGACCUGUACCUUGUUCCAAUUAUUUAUGCUAAUCAAGGUAAUUUUUUUUCUGUGAAGGAUUUGAUGAGAUGAUGCUAUAGAAAAAUCCAGUGCAUUUCCAUUAUUGCUUGCUCAACCGCAAUACUAUUUUGUAGCAAGAGGAAAAUAAUUGCGGAAUGCUCCUCUACCCCCACAUAGGAAGUACAUAAUAUCAUGUUUGUGUUGAAACUUUCUCUUCCAAAAUGUCAUAACCCCAUACGAAAGAGAAUUAAAAUCCCAUUAUUUUAAUCUACAUCUUGCCACAAGAUAAGUAAAGUUAUCAUUGAAAUUCUAAUUAAAUGGGAUGAUUGACUAAGGUAGCACAUCAAAGAAGAGAAGUGAAUAUGAUAAGUCGAAGACUUAUUAAUUAGUCUGCGUGGAAGAAAUUCCAGGGAUGUCAAGCUGAGCCUGCUGCAAGGAGAAAAAAAAGCAGACAAGAAAACGCUCGUUUCUUUGAAGUUAGGAACUGAGAUAGUGAUGGAGGUAAUUGUGUCUGACUGGAUCCAGUAAUGAAGAGCUGUAAAUCAGACCUCAGAAUCGAAGGAAAGAUUCAAGUAACGAACGCGGCCGCCCCCCCUGCUGCGAAGAAACAGAAUGCAGAGCGCACUAAUUGACCCAGCCUAUUUCCCAGUAGUUCCCUGUUAUUAUUUAUUAAUUUUUAAUUUCUGAAUUAUUUACGUCCUGGGAAAUUAUUCUUGACAGCCUGUUAGGCGUGCCAGAGUUAAUGGAGGAUGAAAGCACUGGUACCAGAAUUAGCAGGGAUGUAGUCACAGGCUACUGGAUUUAACGAUUUUGGAAGGAAAAAUUGAUUUCACACAGCGUGUCACUUUAUACUACUUUAGGGAUACACCAGCUAUUUGAUUAAUUGAGGAAUAACCAAUUCAAAGUAUAUUUGAAGUGUAAAUGAGUCACACUGCUCAGCUGUUUAUUUUUCCCUCUUUCUGAGAGAUCUGAAUUUUCUUGAAACUGAUGAUUAAAAGCUGAUGAAGACACACUUGCGCGCUUUGAACGUACACCUGUUUGAUUCGUAUUAAACACAGAAGGGAAGAAAACCCUGAAAUACAAAAGGAGAUAUUUUUACUUUUCUUCUUUCUCCCUUCUGAUCUCUUUGUGAUUUUUUUUUUUUUUUUCACUUCAGCAUGUGGUAUAGCAGUAGUUGGAACCUGCAUUCCUUAAAAACUAGGCUCGGGAAGUUUCUCAUUUGUUUUAUGGCCUAUGAACACAAGUAGAAAGAAGCAAUGCCUGCUAAUGAAUAGAAAGAACAAAUAGAAGGAAAACAUACUAAAGGGAAACAAUGACUUUAGUGAAUAAGGUCAGAGGAUUAAUAUAUUAGGAAAAUGAGUGAGGCAGAAAUCGACCAUCACUACCCAGCCUAAAAGCUCUGCGUCAUUCGUGGCUUCUCCCUUUCUGGGCAACCACAUUAGCCUUGGUGCGUCUGCUACUCUCACCUUUGUUCAUCUCUCUUUGGCCUAGUCCUCUGACUGUCUGAAGUCAAAUCUUCCUCUUCCACUGUAUUUGACAUCAGUGCUUCUCAAAGUUUAAUGUGCACCCAGAUCACUUGGGGGUUCUGGCUGCUUUGCAGGUUUAGAUUCAGUGAGUCUGGGACGGAGGCUGAGAGUCUCCUUUUUUGAUAGGCUCCCAGGUGAAGUUCAUGCUGCUGGUCCUUGACCAGUCUUUGAACAGCAAAGUCCUUCAAAACUCUAACAGUCUCAUUUUCUUUAAAAAAUUGCUUUUAAGCACAUAACUCUCUCAUUCAGAAACCGUAAGUGAUUUCCAAUACCUACAAUUAAACACAGAUUCCUUAGCCCGGCAUUCAAGAUCUUCCUCAUAUGAUCAGUCUGCCGUCCUGGGCCUAUCCUUCAUUUCCCAGCUCCAUGCUUUUGUUUAUGCUAUUUCUUCUUCCUGAAAUGCCCCUGUCUGUGGAAAGUCUACCAGUGCCUCAAGAUGUAUGUCAAAUGUCACAUCCCCAAUGUUGGCUAUUCUAACCUUUUCCCAUUCAAUAAGACGUGUUCUCCUUCAAAUGCUUUCUCUCAUACUUUAGUUUUACCUCUUCCUUGCCAUGUGAUUAUCUUCAAUCUUACAUUGUUGUCGUUAAUGUACCUAUUUUUCCCUAUGCACAUACAGGAUUGUGAGUUGUGUAAGGGUAGGGACUGUGCCUUAUCCUUCCCAAGUGCAGGUGCAGAGCAUAGAGUACAUAGCUAACAAAUAUAUCUAGUGAAACUGAACUAUUCCCUCCAUGGUCAUCCUACCCUUGCAAAUUUGUAGCAUCUCUGGAAUUCUUUAAAAUAGCCCACAAAUUCUGAUUUUUGCUACUUCGCUUAUUCAUUUAUCCACAUAUCUGCUUACUCACAAGCAUUUGAAUGUUUUCUUUGUGCUAGGUGCAGAGCCUGGGGCUGCAGAUAGACAAGUGAAACAGCAGUCCUUGUCCCCCAAGAACCAUCCCCCCAACUUUUUUGUCCUGCUUUACCAACUUUAUAUUUCCUAACUCCAACCCCAAAACUUAUCUAAGCAAUAUUUAUUCACCCUAAUUUUUUUAAAAAGCAAAAAAAAUUUUGGUAGUUCUUGUAACUAUAGUAGGACCAAGCAUCAUUACCUCAGAACAUGGAUUCUCAUGAAUCCUGAGGAUUUUAUCUAGACUUUGCAUAUAUUCAUUCUCCUCUCUGAAAGAUUUGGAAAUCCUUAAAGUCUUGCCCAUUUAACCAUAAAUUUCCACCUUAUCCCCACUCCCCACAAUACCCAUUUUUCAGCAUUGUACCAGUUCUCAAACCAUUGCUUCUACCUGUCCUAAACUCCUUAAGGUAAGAUUGCAUAGCAUAUUUAACAAAUUUAACCAACACCAAAAUUAUUCUCGAGUUCUUUCCUCUUCUUUUCUUCUCUCCUCUUUUUUCCAUCUCUUUCUCUUUAUCUCAUGCCCUUACCUUCUUGUACUUACUGUCCUUAACCACUAUACCCAUCCAAAUGUAGAGGGAAGAACAUUUUUUUAAAAACCUAAUUUCAUAUCUACCAUAAAGAUUCAGACAAAAAUAAACCACAAGAAAUUGUGUCAUGGAGUGUAUGAUGUAGAAAUGUCCAAGAGUCUAACUAUAAAUAAAACAGAGACAAAUAAAAUUGUAUUGUGGUUCUUUGAUGGUGAGCCAGCUCUGGCUAACAAGCAAGAAGAGAAGGAUUCAAGGGUUUCCCAGAGAAUAUAAGAUAGAAUUCAAUAGAAUUGAAUUUAGGUGAGCAAGAAUGCCACCCAAUAAGAGACUGGUCCCUCAGUGCCCAGGCUAAGAGGACCUGCUUGGGUCUGGAUCUUACUCUGUUUCCUAGGGAUUGACUUAUGAGUAGAGAAACCCAAAGAAGGAAAAAGACUAGAGUCGGUCCAUUCUCCUUGGGGAGACUGGUUAUUGAUUCCUGUAUCCCCAGAGAUGUCUUUAUUCCAGUUCUUCUUGAGUCAUCACUGUACAGCUUUUACAUCAACUGAUAAUUUUAUCACUGGCAACCAAAGAACUCUAAGUGAUACCAGAGACAGUUAUAGUAGUAGGUGUUCAGUAGAGGUUUGUUUAUUAUCCACAUAGUGUAUUAGAUAUAAAUUUUAUACAGCCUACAGGGACAACUCCCUAGCCUCUUAAUACGCAAGGAUUUUACCUUUGUGCCUUUGCUCAAGCUUUCCCGUCUGCCUACGAUGUCAUCCACCCUGCUUACCCUUCUCUUUUCUUAUUGUUUAACAUUCAAUAUCACCCAAAGGAGAGAAUCAAGUUAUUCUAAGUUUUAUUAUGAAAAAAUUCCAUGUAUAUCAAAGUUAAAAAACUAUACAAUGAAACUCACAUAUC